CCUACGGGUGGCUGCAGUCGAGAAUCAUUCACAAUGGGGGAAACCCUGAUGGUGCGACGCCGCGUGGGGGAAUGAAGGUCUUCGGAUUGUAAACCCCUGUCAUGUGGGAGCAAAUUAAAAAGAUAGUACCACAAGAGGAAGAGACGGCGAACCCUGUGCCAGCAGCCGCGGUAAUGCAGAGGUCUCAAGCGUUGUUCGGAAUCACUGGGCGUAAAGCGUGCGUAGGCUGUUUCGUAAGUCGUGUGUGAAAGGCGCGGGCUCAACCCGCGGACGGCAAAUGAUACCGCGAGACUAGAGUAAAGGAGGGGGAACCGGAAUUCUCGGUGUAGCAGUGAAAUGCGUAGAUAUCGGGAGGAACACUCGUGGCGAAGGCGGGUGCCUGGACAUUAACUGACGCUGAGGCACGAAGGCCAGGGGAGCGAAAGGGAUUAGAUACCCUGGUAGUC
This 446-nucleotide ribosomal RNA is filed under the name uncultured bacterium. RNAcentral's name for it is "partial 16S ribosomal RNA". It matches the Rfam family "Bacterial small subunit ribosomal RNA", at positions 338 to 795 of the family's 1533-position model. The record is from RNAcentral.